This is a long non-coding RNA of Trichomycterus rosablanca, 541 nucleotides long. RefSeq lists it as uncharacterized. The transcript has 3 exons. The record is from RefSeq and is a predicted model, not a curated record. NCBI's taxonomy places the organism in Eukaryota, Metazoa, Chordata, Actinopteri, Siluriformes, Trichomycteridae.
CCGAAGGGAAGAGGGCCAUCAGGACUGGGUAACCCAAAAAUCCCUGGCAUACUACUUUAUCAAGUGGUAUGUUAAAAUACUUUCUGUAGGUAACAUCAAAACCACUGGGGAUCAGGUUCUCUCCUGAUGAUGAGGAUGAUGACUGUGGUGAAGAUGAGGAACAACGGUGGCGGGUUCAACUCCACACACUGACACCAAAUAUGGCUGAACGGGAGUUGUAGCCUCGUGGCACAACACAGCAGGAUAGAUCUUGGGGACCUGUCUUCAAUCAGCACCUCUUGUCAACCUGUAAGGAGUUUGGUAUGUUCUUACUAUGUCUACAUGGGUUCCCAUUCAUCUCUCAAGACAUGCAGAAAGUGGAUUUGCUACUUUAAACCGCAGAUAGGUGUAAGUCAGCAUGAAUGAGUGUGAUGCCCUGUGAUGAAUCUUCAUUUGAUCCAUUUUAUUCCUGUCUUGUGCUCAGUGACACAGAUGGUGCUGGACUUGGUGGUGGUGCAACCCUGACCAGAAUAAAGCACUUAAACAAAUGGCUUGACUUUCU